UCACCACCAGAUACAACAUCAUAUGGUCUAUGUGUAUUAGAAAGAUGUGGUGGACUAGGAGUAGAGUGGGGAGAUUGGAUAUUUGUAGGUAUUUGAGAGGUGGGAGCAUGAAUUGUAGACAUUUGUGGACUUGGAGUAGAGAGGAAAGGUGGGAAAUUUGUAAAUGUUUGAGAUAUGGGAUGAUGUUUCGGUUGCCUUGUAGGUUGUGGAAGUUGGAUAUUUGAAGGUGUGUUAGAUGUAAGAUGAUGUGUAGGUUUCCUUGUAGAGUGGGGUUGUUGGGUAUUUGUAGGUAUUUGAGAAGUGGGAGCAUGGACAGUAGACAUUUGUGGACUUGAAGUAGAGAGGAAAGGUGGGAAGUUUGUAUGUGUUUGAGAUAUGGGAUGAUGUGUAGGUUGCUUUGUAAAUAGGGAUUGUUGGAUAUUUGAAGGUGUUUUAGAUGUAAGAUGAUGUGUAGGUUUCCUUGUAGAGUGGGGUUGUUGGGUAUUUGUAGGUAUUUGAGAAGUGGGAGCAUGGACAGUAGACAUUUGUGGACUUGAAGUAGAGAGGAAAGGUGGGAAGUUUGUAUGUGUUUGAGAUAUGGGAUGAUGUGUAGGCUGCUUUGUAGAUAGGGAUUGUUGGAUAUUUGAAGGUGUUUUAGAUGUAAGAUGAUGUGUAGGUUUCAUUGUAGAGUGGGGUUGUUGGGUAUUUGUAGGUAUUUGAGAAGUGGGAGCAUGGACAGUAGACAUUUGUGGACUUGAAGUAGAGAGGAAAGGUGGGAAGUUAGUAUGUGUUUGAGAUAUGGGAUGAUGUGUAGGUUGCUUUGUAGAUAGGGAUUGUUGGGUGUCUGCAGGCCUAGGUGCUUGUAAUCUAGAAGAAUGCGACAAAGUAGUUUUAUGCUUACCUCCCUUAUUUCCCUUAACUUUGUUGAUGCUUAUACCAGCACCUCUUCCAC
Molecule: long non-coding RNA, 931 nt
Filed under: Medicago truncatula (barrel medic)
Lineage: Eukaryota; Viridiplantae; Streptophyta; Magnoliopsida; Fabales; Fabaceae
Description: long non-coding RNA (MTRU_LNC000576)
Source: RNAcentral